This 269-nucleotide unclassified non-coding RNA is filed under the name Hevea brasiliensis (rubber tree). The record is from RNAcentral. Lineage: Eukaryota; Viridiplantae; Streptophyta; Magnoliopsida; Malpighiales; Euphorbiaceae.
GCUUUUAUUAAUUGGUUAUGUUCACUACAUCUAGGUUAACUGGAACAAGGUCUUUGAAGUAGGGGCAUUUUUUAUUUAAUUUUUUUUUUUUAAAGUUUUUGUUCUUGGUUUUGUUGAUCCGAAUUGAUAUACAAGCUUUGAUGAAACAUGGUGAUACAUGUUAGUAUGAAUUUUGUCGAGGAGGUUAUUAUGUUUUGAAUUCAUAUCAUUAUGAAUUUUAAUCAUCGAGUAUCGAUGCUUGUAUGUAGAGAGGUGUGCAUAGAUUUUGA